Molecule: ribosomal RNA, 471 nt
Filed under: uncultured bacterium
Lineage: Bacteria
Description: SSU rRNA
Rfam family: Bacterial small subunit ribosomal RNA
Source: RNAcentral
AGGACGAACGCUGGCGGCGUGCUUAACACAUGCAAGUCGAGCGGAAAGGCCCUUCGGGGUACUCGAGCGGCGAACGGGUGAGUAACACGUGAGUAACCUGCCCCUAGCUCUGGGAUAGCUCCGGGAAACCGGGAUUAAUACCAGAUACGACCACUUUAGACAUCUGUCGUGGUGGAAAGGAUUCCGGCUAGGGAUGGGCUCGCGGCCUAUCAGCUUGUUGGUGGGGUAACGGCCUACCAAGGCGACGACGGGUAGCCGGCCUGAGAGGGCGACCGGCCACACUGGGACUGAGACACGGCCCAGACUCCUACGGGAGGCAGCAGUGGGAAUAUUGCGCAAUGGGCGAAAGCCUGACGCAGCGACGCCGCGUGGGGGAUGAAGGCCUUCGGGUUGUAAACCCUUCAGCAGGGACGAAGCGAAAGUGACGGUACCUGCAGAAGAAGCGCCGGCUAACUACGUGCCAGCAGCCGC